This 276-nucleotide unclassified non-coding RNA is filed under the name Hevea brasiliensis (rubber tree). Lineage: Eukaryota; Viridiplantae; Streptophyta; Magnoliopsida; Malpighiales; Euphorbiaceae. The record is from RNAcentral.
AACCUUAAUGGAAACAAUUGAGGAAGCCCUGUGGUGAACUUGUCGCGGAUAGUUGUUUCCAUAACCCACCAUGUAACUGGUAGCUCUUGGGUUGUCUCCAAGAAUGUAAUCCACCUGAGAUUUCGCGAAAGAAAGAAGCUCGGAUGAGGUAACAAUGGCAGAAGCACACUUGAUGCUUCUACCAGCAGAAGCAAGAUAAUCAGAAUAGACAGUAGCCAAGAAGGAGGCGCUUGUGACGAACUGCAUGUUGUUCCACCUCUGGCGGAAAAUUAGACC